GUGCUUAACACAUGCAAGUCGAACGAGAACGGCUCUUAGCUUGCUAAGAGUGUCAGCUAAGUGGCGCACGGGUGAGUAAUGUAUAGCUAACGUGCCCCUUGGAGGGGGAUAACGGCUGGAAACGGCCGCUAAUACCCCAUACUCCUUCACGAGUAAUGUCGUGUCGGGAAAUGGAUUACCGCCAAGGGAUCGGGCUAUAUCGUAUCAGCUAGUUGGUGGGGUAAAGGCCUACCAAGGCGAUGACGCGUAGCGGGUCUGAGAGGAUGAUCCGCCACACUGGAACUGAGACACGGUCCAGACUCCUACGGGAGGCAGCAGUGGGGAAUAUUGGGCAAUGGGCGCAAGCCUGACCCAGCAACGCCGCGUGGAGGAUGACGCCCUUCGGGGUGUAAACUCCUUUUAUCAGGGAAGAUGA
RNAcentral lists this ribosomal RNA (415 nucleotides) under uncultured prokaryote. Its description in RNAcentral is "bacterial SSU rRNA". It matches the Rfam family "Bacterial small subunit ribosomal RNA", at positions 44 to 451 of the family's 1533-position model. The record is from RNAcentral.